RNAcentral lists this ribosomal RNA (466 nucleotides) under uncultured bacterium. Its description in RNAcentral is "partial 16S ribosomal RNA". It matches the Rfam family "Bacterial small subunit ribosomal RNA", at positions 28 to 507 of the family's 1533-position model. The record is from RNAcentral.
GAUGAACGCUGGCGGCGUGCUUAACACAUGCAAGUCGAACGAUGAAGCCCAGCUUGCUGGGUGGAUUAGUGGCGAACGGGUGAGUAACACGUGAGUAACCUGCCCUUAACUCUGGGAUAAGCCUGGGAAACUGGGUCUAAUACCGGAUAGGAGCGUCCACCGCAUGGUGGGUGUUGGAAAGAUUUAUCGGUUUUGGAUGGACUCGCGGCCUAUCAGCUUGUUGGUGAGGUAAUGGCUCACCAAGGCGACGACGGGUAGCCGGCCUGAGAGGGUGACCGGCCACACUGGGACUGAGACACGGCCCAGACUCCUACGGGAGGCGGCAGUGGGGAAUAUUGCACAAUGGGCGCAAGCCUGAUGCAGCGACGCCGCGUGAGGGAUGACGGCCUUCGGGUUGUAAACCUCUUUCAGUAGGGAAGAAGCGAAAGUGACGGUACCUGCAGAAGAAGCACCGGCUAACUACGUG